GACGUAGGGCGCGAGCGUUGUCCGGAUUUAUUGGGCGUAAAGAGCUCGUAGGCGGCUUGUCGCGUCGACUGUGAAAACCCGCGGCUCAACCGCGGGCCCGCAGCCGAUACGGGCAGGCUAGAGUUCGGUAGGGGAGACUGGAAUUCCUGGUGUAGCGGUGAAAUGCGCAGAUAUCAGGAGGAACACCGGUGGCGAAGGCGGGUCUCUGGGCCGAUACUGACGCUGAGGAGCGAAAGCAUGGGUAGCGAACAGG
RNAcentral lists this ribosomal RNA (253 nucleotides) under uncultured bacterium. RNAcentral's name for it is "partial 16S ribosomal RNA". It matches the Rfam family "Bacterial small subunit ribosomal RNA", at positions 524 to 776 of the family's 1533-position model. The record is from RNAcentral.